CGCGGUAAGACAGAGGAUGCAAGCGUUAUCCGGACUGAUUGGGCGUAAAGCGUCUGUAGGUGGCUUUUCAAGUUCACCGUCAAAUCCCAGGGCUCAACCCUGGACAGGUGGUGGAAACUACCAAGCUAGAGUACGGUAGGGGUAGAGGGAAUUUUUGGUGGAGUGGUGAAAUGCGUUGAGAUCGGAAAGAACACCAAUGGCGAAAGCACUCUGCUGGGCGGACACUGACACUGAGAGACAAAACCUAGGGGAGCAAAUGGGAUUAGAUACCCCCGUAGUCCUAGAUGUAAACGAUGGAUACUAAGUGUUGUGCGUAUCGAACUGCACAGUGUUGUAGCUAACGCAUUAAGUAUCCCGCUUAGGGAGUACGUUCGCAAGAAUGAAACUCAAAGGAAUUGACGGGGGCCCGCACAAGUGGUGGAGCAUGUGGUUCAAUUUGAUGCAAAGAGAAGAACCUUACCAGGGAUUGACAUGCCGUGAAUCCUCCUGAAAGAGAGUGCCUUCAGGAAUGUGGACAUAGGUGGUGCAUGUUUUUCGUCUGCUCGUGCCAUAAGGUGUUGGGUUAAGUUUCGCAACGAGCGCAACCCUCGUGUUUAGUUUCCAGCAUUGAGUUUGGAACCCUGAACAGACUGUCCGUGAUAAGCCAGAGGAAGGUGAGGAUGACGUAAAGUCAUCAUGCCCCUUACGCCCUGGGAGACACACAUGCUACAAUGACUGGGACAAAGGAUCACGACCCCGCGAGGGUAAGCUAAACUCAAAAACCUGGCCUCAGUUCAGAUUGCAAGAUGCAACUCGCCUGCAUGAAGAUGGAAUCGCUAGUAAUUGUCGGUCAGCCAUACGACGGUGAAUCCGUUCCUAGGCCUUGUACACACCGCCCGUCACACUAUGGGAGCUGGCCAUGCCCCAAGUCGUUACCUUAACCGCAAGGAGGGGGAUGCCGAAGGCUAGGCUAGUGACUAGAGUGAAGUCAUAACAAGGUAGCCAUACUGGAAGGUGCAGCUGGAUCACCUCCUUU
Non-coding RNA from Picea glauca (white spruce), 1015 nucleotides. The record is from Rfam. Lineage: Eukaryota; Viridiplantae; Streptophyta; Pinopsida; Pinales; Pinaceae.